CAAAAAAAAAAUUGUAAGUCGCUCUGGAUAAGAGCGUCUGCUAAAUGACAAAUG
Molecule: non-coding RNA, 54 nt
Organism: Salmo salar (Atlantic salmon)
Lineage: Eukaryota; Metazoa; Chordata; Actinopteri; Salmoniformes; Salmonidae
Source: Rfam